This is a long non-coding RNA of Oncorhynchus masou masou (cherry salmon), 2975 nucleotides long. RefSeq lists it as uncharacterized. NCBI's taxonomy places the organism in Eukaryota, Metazoa, Chordata, Actinopteri, Salmoniformes, Salmonidae. The record is from RefSeq and is a predicted model, not a curated record. The transcript has 2 exons.
AUAGAAGAAGAUGGCGCCACAGAACAAUGAUCAUUUCCUAUGAUCGAAAACAGCUCCUGGAGAUGAGAACAGCGAUCACUUACCUCGAUUUGGAUGAUAAAUUCUACUUCAACGAGUCUGCAGCGCUGGAUGUUCUACUUGCUCUGGACCCUGAUCCCAGGGAGUGGAACAGAGGCAGACGAGUCGUUAUCCCGACUAGACUGUGUUGCUGUGUAAAUACACCGCAUCUUACCCUCCGUUCUGUUUCUGUUGACGAACAUACAGUCCCGUGUUGUAGUACUGAAUACGGGUCUAGGUCUCCAGUCCACAUUUUGAGUGUCUCGGUCUUGUCUCGGUGUCAGAUACAUUUGUAGGAUACUCGGUCUUGGGACAGUGAUUAAUAAUUUCUUUCCAAGACCAGCAGACUCAUAAUUAUCCGCUUCUAUUCACUAAGCCAUGAAACCGUGCUUCUUCGACCAGACCAAAUAUAUACACUUCUUUCUGGAAAUGUGAAUACCGGAAGUCUUUAUAUCGAUUAUAGGCCUUAAGUGUGUGACAGGUUCUUGAUGCUGAAAGGACAGUAAUACCAACGCACUGAUGUAGGAGAGUUUUUUGUAAAAACACAAAAGGGUCAGUGGUGGAGGGGAGGUGUAUAGCUGUUUCAGUACAUAGACUCACUUCCCCACUGAUGCAUAUAUCAAAGUAGUGUAGUGGAGGUAUAGGACUUAUCAAUGAUUUAGUACAAUGAGAAAUCAUGCACAAAGUAGCCUACACAAUCGCAAAGCACAUGAAAUAGACUAUAUAUACACAAAAUGAUGUGGACAUCCCUUCAAAUUUGUGGAUUCGGCUAUUUCAGCCACACCCAUUGCUGACAGGUGUAUACAAUCGAGCACAGAGACAUGCAAUCUCCUUAGACAAACAUUGGCAGUAGAAUGGCCCGUACUGAAGAGCUCAGUAACAUAGGAUGCUACUUUUCCAACAAGUCAGUGUGUCAAAUUUCUGCCCUGCUAGAGCUGCCCCGGUCAACUGUAAGUGCUGUUAUUGUGAAAUGGAAACGUCUAGGAGUAACAACUGCUCAGCCACGAAGUAGUAGGCGAGUAGUGUGUAAAAAUCAUCUGUCCUCAGUUGCAACACUCACUACCGAGAACCAAACAGCCCCUGGAAGCAACAUCAGCACAAUAACUGUUCGUCGGGAGCUUCAUGAAAUGGGUUUCCAUGGCCGAUUAGACGCACACAAGCCUGAGAUCACCAUGUUCAACGCCAAGCGUCGGGUGGAGUGGUGUAAAGCUUGCCGCCAUUGGACUCUGGAGCAGUGGAAACAUGUUCUCUGGAGUGAUGAAUCACUCUUCACCUUCUGACAGUCCGACGGAUGAUUCUGGCUCUGGCGGAUGCCAGGAGAAUACUACCUGCCGAAUGCAUAGUGCCAACUGUAAAGUUUGGUGGAGGAGGAAUAAUGGGCUGUUUUUCAUGGUUCAGACGAGGUCACUUUGUACCAGUGAAGGAAAACCUUAACUCUACAGCAUACAAUGACAUUGUAGAUGAUUCUGUGCACCCAACUUUGUGGCAACAGUUUGGGAAAGGUCCUUUCCUGUUUCAGCAUGACAAUUCCACCGUGCACAAAGCCAGGUCCACACAGAAAUGGUUUGUCGGAGAUCGGCGUGGAAUAACUUGACUGGCCUGCACAAAGCCAUGGCCUCAACCCUGUUGAACACCUUUAGGAUGAAUUAGAACGCUGACUGUGAGCCAGGCCUAAAUCACCUAACAUCAGUGUCCAACCUCACUAAUGCUCUUGUGGCUGAAUGGAAGCAAGUCCCCGCAGCAUGUUCCAACAUCUAGUGGAAAGCCUUCCAGGAAGAGUGGAGGCUGUUACAGGGGAGGGACCAACUCCAUAUUAAUGCCCAUGAUUUUGGAAUGAGAUAUUCAACAAGCAGGUGUCCACAUACUUUUGUAUGUGCUGGGCUGAUGGAAAGAUAUCAGUCACACACAGCAUAAUGUUAAAGGAUAAGUAGUUUAUCAACUCAAUCCUAAGAAUACAAAAAAGACAACCAUUAUGCUAAGCAUUACCCAAUCAACAUUUCCCAAUCGAAACUAUUACUUCCCAUUGCAAAAAAAAACAUUUCCCAUUUAGCACAAAGUCACUGGUGACCUAAAGUUGAAAUUGAAAAAUAUAUUGUGUGAGACUUUGUUCUAAGAGAAACAACAACAGGAAGCGCGCUGCAGUAGAAACACAAUUCCACUGAUCAUUUGAGAAACAACUUCUUGUUGAAAGUUAUUCUUGAAAAGGGGAGAAGCUAACAAAUUAGCAACAACAUCCUCUUCGAUAACACCUGCUGCAGCCACUGAAAAUUAGCCUACAACAAAAACAUUGCUAGCUAGACCUUGGGAAACGACUGCUAGCUAGACCUUGGGGAAAUGACUGCCAGCUAGACCUUGGGAAACGACUGCCAGCUAGACCUUGGGAAACGACUGCCAGCUAGACCUUGGGAAACGACUGCCAGCUAGACCUUGGGAAACGACUGCCAGCUAGACCUUGGGAAAUGACUGCCAGCUAGACCUUGGGAAACGACUGCUAGCUAUUGUGCGGAGGUUUCCAGUCAAAACUGUCCCCACCCAUUAUAAGUCAAAAUGUGAUUGGUUGAUUACUCGUCAUUUAAUCACAGUAGUUGAAAGGAUUUAUAAAUCGUUAGCCCUUCUCUGAAGGUGUAGAAGGCCCUCAUUGUUCUCCACUGUGUUUGGUUAGCCCUUCUCAGAAGGUGUAGAAGGCCCUCAUUGUUCUCCACUGUGUUUGGGUUAGUAAUAAUUUGCAACAUGGAUUUUUUUCAUCAUUCUGAAUGUCUAAAGACCCCAUUGGAUCAUUCAGAGAUCCUCACUGAACUUCUGGAGAGAGAGAUUGCUGCACUGAAAGUAAAGGGGCUGAAUAAUUUUGCAAGCCCAAUUUUUCAGUUUUUGAUUUGUUAAAAAAGUUUGAAAUAUCCAAUAAAUGUCGUUCCACUUCA